This 472-nucleotide ribosomal RNA is filed under the name uncultured Glomus. Its description in RNAcentral is "SSU rRNA". It matches the Rfam family "Eukaryotic small subunit ribosomal RNA", at positions 569 to 1047 of the family's 1831-position model. Lineage: Eukaryota; Fungi; Glomeromycota; Glomeromycetes; Glomerales; Glomeraceae. The record is from RNAcentral.
AGCAGCCGCGGUAAUUCCAGCUCCAAUAGCGUAUAUUAAAGUUGCUGCAGUUAAAAAGCUCGUAGUUGAAUUUCGGGAUCAAUAUGUUGGUCGUGCCUCGGUACGUACUAGCUUAUUGGUUUCUCCCUUCUGACGAACCAUGAUGUCAUUUAUUUGGUGUUAUGGGAAAUCAGGACUGUUACUUUGAAAAAAUUAGAGUGUUUAAAGCAGGCUCACGCUUGAAUACAUUAGCAUGGAAUAAUGAAAUAGGACGUUUGAUUCUAUUUUGUUGGUUUCUAGGAUCGACGUAAUGAUUAAUAGGGAUAGUUGGGGGCAUUAGUAUUCAAUUGUCAGAGGUGAAAUUCUUGGAUUUAUUGAAGACUAACUACUGCGAAAGCAUUUGCCAAGGAUGUUUUCAUUAAUCAAGAACGAAAGUUAGGGGAUCGAAGACGAUCAGAUACCGUCGUAGUCUUAACCAUAAACUAUGCCGACU